UACGUAGGGUGCAAGCGUUAAUCGGAAUUACUGGGCGUAAAGCGCACGUAGGCGGGUCGUUAAGUCAGGGGUGAAAUCCCGGAGCUCAACUCCGGAACUGCCUUUGAUACUGGCGAUCUAGAGAUCGAGAGAGGUGAGUGGAAUUCCGAGUGUAGAGGUGAAAUUCGUAGAUAUUCGGAAGAACACCAGUGGCGAAGGCGACUCACUGGACACGUAUUGACGCUGAGGUGCGAAAGCGUGGGGAGCAAACAGG
RNAcentral lists this ribosomal RNA (253 nucleotides) under uncultured bacterium. Its description in RNAcentral is "partial 16S ribosomal RNA". It matches the Rfam family "Bacterial small subunit ribosomal RNA", at positions 524 to 776 of the family's 1533-position model. The record is from RNAcentral.